This 427-nucleotide unclassified non-coding RNA is filed under the name Pollicipes pollicipes. Its description in RNAcentral is "proline-rich protein PRCC-like, transcript variant X1". Lineage: Eukaryota; Metazoa; Arthropoda; Thecostraca; Pollicipedomorpha; Pollicipedidae. The record is from RNAcentral.
GCGUCGCGGCAGCAGCUCGACCCGCAGGCGCUGCAGCGGCUGCGCGGCCGCCGCGGCCGCCGGGAGGAGGCCGACAUCAACAUCAUCGACGUCAACCAGGACGACAUCAUGCCGGACCGGGACGAGUGGAUGACGAAGGCAUUGACGGAGGAGACGGUGGUGCGGCGCCCGCAGAAGUCGGCCGACGACCCUACCAUGCAGCAGCGUCGCAAACACCAGAUCACCUACCUGGCGCACCAGGCCAAGGAACGGGAGGUGGAGCUGAAGAACGAGUGGGCCCAGAACCGGGCCACCAAGAACGCGUACCGCACCAAGUACGGGUUCUAGCCGGCCCACCUCCGCCUGCCGUCUUGCGUUGUACAUACGGUGUUGUUGGAAUGUACGUUAUCAUGUUGGUGUCAUUCACACGCAUUCAAUACAAGUCAUC